RNAcentral lists this transfer RNA (70 nucleotides) under Anguilla anguilla (European eel). RNAcentral describes it as "tRNA-OTHER". Lineage: Eukaryota; Metazoa; Chordata; Actinopteri; Anguilliformes; Anguillidae. The record is from RNAcentral.
UGUACGGUGGUGCAGUUGGUAUCACUUUUUCCUCACAGCAAGAAGGUUCUAGGUUCGAAUCCCUGCAUGG